UAGACGAGCAUUCAAACGAUGUCCUGUU
This 28-nucleotide non-coding RNA is filed under the name Bombyx mori (domestic silkworm). The record is from RNAcentral. Lineage: Eukaryota; Metazoa; Arthropoda; Insecta; Lepidoptera; Bombycidae.